CGGCUUUACAUGCGAUGGAUCGGAAACCUUCAAGGUACACCCAGAAGGCAAAGAAGAAGUCGCAUGCGUCAGGAGGACCAUGGAGAGCGCCGAGGAAGCCGAGUGGCUCUGCUCCUGGACAGCAGGCGGCAGAGAGGCUGUACAUGACUCAUGGCCAAGCAGCCCAGGACCCCGAAGUUCACAGGGUCUGUGAGUGUGUCUGCCUCAGACUCUUAAAAGAGUUUGAGCAGUCACGCAACAGGCCAAAGGACACAAAGGGGAAAACAAUGCCCAUCCCUCAGUCCAUCGUAAGCGUGUACAGCCACAU
This is a long non-coding RNA of Gadus chalcogrammus (walleye pollock), 307 nucleotides long. RefSeq lists it as uncharacterized. The record is from RefSeq and is a predicted model, not a curated record. NCBI's taxonomy places the organism in Eukaryota, Metazoa, Chordata, Actinopteri, Gadiformes, Gadidae. The transcript has 3 exons.